GGACUACUGGGGUUUCUAAUCCUGUUUGAUCCCCAUGCUUUCGGGUCUCAGUGUCAGUGUUGGGCCAGAUCGCCGCCUUCGCCACCGGUGUUCCUCCAGAUAUCUACGUAUUUCACCACUACACCUGGAAUUCCACGAUCCUCUCCCACACUCAAGCUCUGCAGUAUCAAAAGCACUUCCCGAGUUAAGCUCGGGGCUUUCACUCCUGACUUAUAGAGCCACCUACACCCGCUUUACGCCCAAUGAUUCCGAACAACGCUUGGACCCCUCGUCUUACCGCGGCUGCUGGCAC
This 292-nucleotide ribosomal RNA is filed under the name uncultured bacterium. Its description in RNAcentral is "partial 16S ribosomal RNA". The record is from RNAcentral.